This 2548-nucleotide long non-coding RNA is filed under the name Salmo salar (Atlantic salmon). Its description in RNAcentral is "lncRNA (ENSSSAG00000122086.1)". Lineage: Eukaryota; Metazoa; Chordata; Actinopteri; Salmoniformes; Salmonidae. The record is from RNAcentral.
UAGAGUUUAUUAGUCACAUGCACAGGGUCACAGAUGUAAUUGCAGGGUACAGUGAAAUUCUUAAGCUCCGAGCUCCAACUGUGCAGGUCAAGAGAAGUGAAUGGAACAAUAAUACAAAUAAUAAUAUAUACAUAUUUACAACUGUAACAAUGAUAAAUAUUCAUUGGGGGGUGGGAGCAGGGUAAAUGUCCGUUGAGGGGGAGGGGAGUAAAAUGUCGAUAGGGGGAGCAGCGGGUGGUAGGAAUUUCGGGGGACAGGGGGAACAGGUAGCUGACUAGUGGUGGCUAUUCAGCAGCCUGAUGGUCUGGGGGAAGAAGCUAUUGGUCUGACAGUUUUUGACAUGAUGCUCCUAUACUGUCCACCUCUGAGUGAUGGAAGCGGGGAGAACAGGCCAUGGCUCGGGUUGCUGGGUUCCCUGAUUAUCUUCUUGGCCUUCCUGCGACAAGAAUGGGGAGGAAGAGCAGUCCCAAUAUUGUGAUGGUCCAUACAGCAUGGUUACGCUUCAGCUGGCUAUCUCCAUAACACUUCUUCCCCCAAGUUAGUGGCGAAACAACACUCCAUAAUACUCUUUUCCCCCAGGUUCGUGGCUAAACAACACCCCAUAAUACUCUUUUCCCCAGGUUAGUGGCUAAACAACACCCCAUAAUACUCCUUUCCCCAGGUUAGUGGCUAAGCAACACCCCAUAAUACUCUUUUCCCCAGGUUAGUGACUAAGCAACACUCCAUAAUACUCUUUUCCCCAGGUUAGUGACUAAGCAACACUCCAUAAUACUCCUUUCCCCAGGUUAGUGGCUAAGCAACACCCCAUAAUACUCUUUUCCCCAGGUUAGUGACUAAGCAACACUCCAUAAUACUCUUUUCCCCAGGUUAGUGACUAAACAACACCCCAUAAUACUCUUUUCCCCAGGUUAGUGACUAAGCAACACUCCAUAAUACUCUUUCCCCCAGGUUAGUGGCUAAGCAACACUCCAUAAUACUCUUUUCCCCAGGUUAGUGGCUAAACAACACUCCAUAAUACUAUUUUCCCCCAGGUUAGUAGCUAAACAACACCCCAUAAUACUCUUUUCCCCCAGGUUAGUGACUAAGCAACACUCCAUAAUACUCCUUCCCCCAGGUUAGUGGCUCAGCAACAGACCACAUGGGGCUCAUGCCCUAGUCUUUCAUCAUUCUUAAGGAACAGAUUUUAUAUACAAAAUAUACAAUGAGUACAGUACAAUAUACAGCUAUGAGCGGAAGCCUCCUCCUCCCUCUUGUCACUUUCACCACGUAAAAUACACACUCAUUUUCUCUCUCUCUCUUGCUACCUCUGUGUCUAUGUCUAUGUCUUUCUCAUAGGAUUAAACCAAUCAACAAACAACACACUUGGGGAACUCUUCCAAUAUAACUUUAAAUAGUAUUGGAUGGUGUUCUCUGAAGCAAACUGCUGACAUCACCACUGGGCUAUUGCAACAGCAAUGUGCAUAGCCUACAGAUAAUGCAAGGGGAAGUGACUGUCCCACACUAAGAGCAGAGGACUGCCGUGUCAGCUAUGCAUAACUACUCCAGUAUAUUCCAUGCAUCCUGUGGCUAUCUGUCUGACAUACAGUAUGGCCAAGGGAAACGUCCUCUUUUUGUCUCCUGUUUCAUUAGAAAGGGGAUGUUUCAGGUAUUUUUAGGCAUACAGUGCAUUCGGAAAGUAUUCAGACCCCUUGACUUUUCCACAUUUUGUUACAGCCUUAUUCUAAAAUAGAUUAAAUCAUUUUAUUCCCAUCAUCAAUCUACACACAAUACCCCAUAAGGACAAAGCAAAAACAGGUUUUUAGACAUUUUAGCAAAUGUAUAUAAAAUAAAAUUUUAAAAAUGAAAUAUCACAUUUACAUUACUAUUCAGACCCUUUACUUAGCUCUUUCCUUUGGCAGCGAUUACAGCCUUGAGUCUUCUUGGGUAUGACGCUACAAGCUUGGCACACCUAUAUUUGGUGAGUUUCUCCCAUUCUUCUCUGCAGAUCCUCUCAAGCUCUGUCAGGUUGGAUGGGGAGCGUAGCUGCACAGCUAUUUUCAGGUCUCUCCAGAUGUUCGAUCAGGUUCAUGUCUGGGCUCUGGCUGGGCCACUCAAGGACAUUCAGAGACUCCUGUGUUGUCUUGGCUGUGUGCUUUUGGUUGUCCAUUUGGAAGGUGAACCUUCGCCUUAGUCUGAGGUCCUGAGUGCUCUGGAGCAGGUUUUCAUCAAGGAUCUCUCGGUACUUUGCUCCGUUCAUCUUUUGAUUCUGACCAGUCUCCCAGUCCCUGCCGCUGAAAAACAUCCCCACAGCAUGAUGCUGCCACCACCAUGCUUCAACGUGGGGAUGGUGCCAGGUUUCCUCCAGACGUGACGCUUGGCAUUCAGGCCAAAGAGUUAAAUCUUGCUUUCAUCAGACCAAAGAAUCUUGUUUCUCAUGGUAUGAGAGUCCUUUAGGUGCCUUUUGGCAAUGUCAUACACACACACACACACACACACACACAUUGACUGGUAGUGUAUAUAUAACCUAAAUACAAAGUAACUUACAUUACAGUAUCUGCAUACAUUUUAG